UCUGUCACCCAGACUGGAGUGCACUGGCGCAAUCUCAGCUCACCACAACCACUGCCUCCUGGGUUCAAGCGAUUCUCCUGCCCCAGCCUCCCAACUGCAGGUGGAGCUGGAGCAAGAAUACCAAGACAAAUUCAAAAGACUGCCCCUCGAGAUUUUGGAAUUCGUGCAGGAAGCCAUGAAAGGAAAGAUCAGUGAAGACAGCAAUCACGGUUCUGCCCCUCUCUCCCUGUCCUCAGACCCUGGAAAAGUGAACCACAAGACUCCCUCCAGUGAGGAGCUGGGAGGAGACAUCCCAGGAAAAGAAUUUGAUACUCCUCUGUGAAUGCUCCUGCCAGGCCUUCAGAAAUUGCAUGGCCACUCCAGCGUCAUCGGACUCUCUCUUAUUACAAAGAUCACUGCCCAGGACCAUUUUCCCGAGAAGCAUCCCUUAGCCUAAAAUCCACACCAAAGGGAGAGUUCCAGAGGAAUCCAUGAAGAAUUCCCAUGCCCAGGCUCCAUGUGUCAUGUGGAAACCUCCGCAGGUCUGCUAGUGAAGAAUGCAUGUAUGUGAGAUUUUUGUUUUCUUUCCAAUAGCAAAUUCAAAGCAAGCAACUUGCAGGCUCCAUGGAACUUUUAAUGAAGGACAGUGUCUUCUUUGAAGAAAAUCAAGCUCAUGUUUUUAUUUGAAGCUCUGGUGUAAAAUAUUUCAAAGUCAUAGAAAUAGUUUGAGAAAUGCAUAGCAUUAUUUAACACUAUUGAACAGCCGACUUUGAGCAUUGUUUUUUCUAACUGCCCCUCAACUACCAUUAUCUUCAAGUCAACAUGCAUAUUACAUUUUCAUCCUUUGCUUUGCAAGCACUGGUGGCUUGCAGUUUGCUAAUUUAUUUAUCAUAGAGUCAUCAAUGUAUUUGUUGCUGACAUGGUUUUAUUAGAUACUGUAGUGAUUCAAAUAAGUUUGUUUUCUAUUAAAAAAAAAAAAAAUCACUUGAUUGUAUCCUUGCCCAGUGAAGCCAUCCUAAGACUUAGCAAUAUGGAUUGUACAUUUGACUCCAUGAGCAAGUCGGCCGCACACUUCCAGACAGUGUGCUGUUUGAAUUGACUAUUUGCACUCAAAGUCUGGGUAUUCAUUGGUUAUUGGCCUGAAAUGAUCAAAUAACUACAAAUGGUCUGUUGAAUAAAAAUAGUUGAGCUGAUAUAUGUUAAGCAGAUAUUCAAUCAGAAUGAACAGGUUCCAGUGGUUAUUUUGCCGUUUGACAUUUUUUAUGGUUCAUUUAUUUUUAAUAUAGAGAGGAAGAUUGAAUAUUUAUCUAGAGAAUACAAAGACCCACAUGUAAAUGAUAGGUAUUAUCUCCAUGUAUAUAUGUACCCACUUAGUCAUGUAAGUGCAUAUACACAUACACACACAUGAGUGUAGAUAUGUGUUUAUUAAUUGACAAUGACCCAAAUCUCUUCCACAAGACUUAAAACCAAAUUCAGGGACAAAUGGAUAGAGAAGAAAAGGGUCAAACAUCUAGAUUACAUGGAUGUUAAAUUAUAUGGAGACGCUAAGAAAUAAUUGAUGGAGCCAUUGAUGCAAACUGAAGUAGAUUUAGAACUUAUUAUAUGAAUUUGAUUUAUAUUUUGCAAGAUCAAAAAUUAGAUGUUAAGUAUCAGAUUUUAAGCUUGUUUUAAUGGUCAAAAAAUUAGGACAGAAAUAUGGACAUUUAUUAGUAUCUUCCAUAAUUUUUAAGUCUGACACAUUUCUAUUUUAUUCUAACAUAAAAAAACUUCCAUUAUAUAUUUACUAAGUAUAUUUAAUUCACUUAACUGUGUCUUUAUAAGUUCCUAUUUUAGAUGGCAUAAGAGAAACAAAUUAUAUUAAGGUAAAACUGAUCAAAAGCAUAAUUGAAAGUUCUGAAAAAAGAAAAAUAAUAAUAUGUAGAAAAAUGUAACUUAGAGAGUAACACAUGAACAUUGAAGUUAAAACCCAGAAGCCAGAUGCUCACAGUUUUAUUUUACUUUAAAAUAAACCUGUCUGAUUGUAGCUUUGCGAAAUAUCUUGAAACGCAAAAACCAGUUGUGUCCUGAAAAUUGUUUCAAGAAUUUAAUAUUUUUAUGAAAAUUAUUUUAUUUAACUUUAAGCAAUAACUAGAGAUUACAAUUAAAUUUUAAUCAAAAUGAAGGCUUAGUUCAAACAUAAGGAAACAAACAGUGUUUGAUUAAAAAAAACACAUCUAGUAAGACGUAAGGGGGAAAAUCAUAUCCUCUUUGGAGAUGAUUAUAUUUUGAUCUGAAGGGUUUGGGGUGUUCAUUAGACACUUAAUAAAACUUAACUUCCACUGAAAAAGAAAUCUUUUGUAAAUCAUUCUACUUUUGCACUUUGAAAGAAAGGCAUUAAUCAUAAAGAAGCAAGAAUGGUCAAAAUCGAAUGCUGCAUUUUUAUAAACAAAAUUACAGACUGUCUGAAAUUGAAGAAGAAUGAACUAAUAAUAGCAUUCAUAACCAAACACAAUGGUGAUUAUUGCAGAACAUUGUAUCACAUUUUAGUCCAGAGAUAGAAUAAAGUUGAAUAACCUUGACUUACACAAAACUGUUUUGGUAGUUGGAUUUCAUUAUCUUAGUGAAUUUAGUCAUUUUACAAUAUGUUUGUAUUUGGCCAUUUACUGUAAUCACAUUUUUAUAUCUGUACAAUGACACUUUUUGCAGUUGUGGGGUAGUGUGUAACACUGUCCAUCUUGCAUCAUUGAAACUACUACAAUGAUACUAUCAUUUAAUAAUAUUAAUAUUACUUGAAAUAGACUAAGAUAAAGAAAAGGGGUCUGUAUGAUGUGCAGUUUUGUGCCUUUAUGUAUUUGCCUUGUUCUUUGUUGAAUGUGUGAAAUUCUGUACUGUGGUUUUUCCUAUAAUAGAAGGUAGAGCUGUGCAUUAAAUUAGACUGUGUCUCUCUGAUACCUUUACACUACUGAGAAUAGCAUGGUUUUGGCCAUGUAAACCAAUUUUCAAAGUUCUAAUGACAUGCCAUGUGUUUUUGGUUUUUUAUAUUUCAUUUUAAAAUUUGAGUAUCACCAUACAUUAAUUAAUACUCCUGUAGUAGAUAAGCCUGUCAUUAAGUAAUUCCCAAAAAAAAGGGCCAUUGCUUGCAUUACUUUGAAUUUAAUGUUGCGCUUGUGCACUGUGUUAAUAUUGUUUGUGAUGGAUUGGACGUUGUGACUCUUGCCUUUUAAGAAGAAAAAAAAAGGACAAAGUAUUUGAAGCUCUUAAAAUGUACAUAUUUUGGUUCUUCUAUCUCAAAUUAUUUAAAAUGCAUAAUUCACAUUUUUGUAAUAAUUCUAUGCAAUUUUGUGGCAUGAUGUUUCUUCCACUUGUAAUUUUAUGUGCUUUCAUCACAAAUCCAAAGGAAA
Molecule: small RNA, 3359 nt
Filed under: Pan troglodytes (chimpanzee)
Lineage: Eukaryota; Metazoa; Chordata; Mammalia; Primates; Hominidae
Description: processed transcript
Source: RNAcentral